This 265-nucleotide ribosomal RNA is filed under the name uncultured bacterium. RNAcentral describes it as "partial 16S ribosomal RNA". It matches the Rfam family "Bacterial small subunit ribosomal RNA", at positions 793 to 1055 of the family's 1533-position model. The record is from RNAcentral.
GUCCUUGCCCUAAACGAUGUAUACUUGGUGUUGUUGGGCUCAACCCCGACAGUACCGUAGCUAACGCGAUAAGUAUACCGCCUGGGGAGUACGCUCGCAAGGGUAAAACUCAAAAGAAUUGACGGGGACCCGCACAAGCAGUGGAGCAUGUGGUUUAAUUCGAUGCAACGCGAAGAACCUUACCUGGGCUUGACAUGCACUUGACCGCUACAGAGAUGUAGUUUUCUCGCAAGAGACAGGUGCACAGGUGCUGCAUGGCUGUCGU